This 496-nucleotide ribosomal RNA is filed under the name uncultured bacterium. RNAcentral describes it as "partial 16S ribosomal RNA". It matches the Rfam family "Bacterial small subunit ribosomal RNA", at positions 29 to 507 of the family's 1533-position model. The record is from RNAcentral.
AUGAACGCUGGCGGCGUGCCUAAUACAUGCAAGUCGAGCGAACAGACGAGGAGCUUGCUCCUCUGACGUUAGCGGCGGACGGGUGAGUAACACGUGGAUAACCUACCUAUAAGACUGGGAUAACUUCGGGAAACCGGAGCUAAUACCGGAUAAUAUAUUGAACCGCAUGGUUCGAUAGUGAAAGACGGUUUUGCUGUCACUUAUAGAUGGAUCCGCGCCGCAUUAGCUAGUUGGUAAGGUAACGGCUUACCAAGGCAACGAUGCGUAGCCGACCUGAGAGGGUGAUCGGCCACACUGGAACUGAGACACGGUCCAGACUCCUACGGGAGGCAGCAGUAGGGAAUCUUCCGCAAUGGGCGAAUGCCUGACGGAGCAACGCCGCGUGAGUGAUGAAGGUCUUCGGAUCGUAAAACUCUGUUAUUAGGGAAGAACAAAUGUGUAAGUAACUAUGCACGUCUUGACGGUACCUAAUCAGAAAGCCACGGCUAACUACGUG